This 2115-nucleotide long non-coding RNA is filed under the name Pomacea canaliculata. Its description in RNAcentral is "uncharacterized LOC112567691". The record is from RNAcentral. Lineage: Eukaryota; Metazoa; Mollusca; Gastropoda; Architaenioglossa; Ampullariidae.
CUGCGUAAAGGACGUUCCGGGCACAGCCGAGUCACGUGAUCAACUCCCCCUCCAGUUCGUCUCCCUUACACAAUGGCGGGUGUCGGCCGGCUUCGUACGACCGCCGGUGUGUGUGAGUGUGGAGCCAACCGUAGACAGGUGAGAGCGGUGGAGCUGACGGCGGUGUCUGCUGCAGGUAACGAUGCCCCCGGGCCGCGCUUCUGGCACCUGCAGCGACGGAUGACGUCAGAGCGCGUGCGGUGGCGGCCGCGUUUCCAGACCAGCAGUACAUCUGUGGCCUCCUGUCCAUGAGAACAAGGAUGCUGGGUAGUUGACAGGAAAGUGCUUCCACCUGGCGGUGACAUCACACUGGGUAAGGAAGAGGGAGGAAACCAGACUACCCCAAGGGCCGCCGGCUCUGCGAACAGUUGUCACAUAAUGAGUUUCCCAGUGAAAACAAGCAACUACAUCACAGGGCACCCCGGGUACCGCAUUUUGCCUGCUAGUUACACAAGAAAAUUUGUGUUGCGUCACCUACCCCGUGUUCACUUGACUCUUUGACACUGCUCGGUACAUGUGUAAAAUGUUCGGACAUUUUGUCUCAUUGCCUACAUAAGUAAUCAGUCUCGAGCUACACCUGUGAACGAGGCUGUGGUUUCAGGUACAAGAAUUGUGACGUCACUUCCUCCGCCUCUUGUCUGCGACGAUUUUCAGCCACCUACCGGACAGACAGUGCAAGAACCAAACUUUCCCCAAAACCGGUUUGUGAAACAGAUGGAAAGCAGGUUUGCCAAACCGUUUUCGGCUUGUCGUGUGUCGUUCCUCACGACGCGCCGCUAGGGAGAACAUGCGGCACGUGCCUCGAGCUGUUUGCCCAAUCGACUAGCGCCAACCUCCACGAGAACGCGCACGCGCGCUCGCGAGACUUCGGGCCAAGGGGUACCAAAAGGCAAAUAUUUGACAAGGUAGAGAGAGGUAGAAAGAGAGACCACAACAGAGGGACUGGGUGCGCCAGGUAGCUUGUCACCACGUGGCUCGGGGUUCAGACCUCGUCUCGGGUCACUCAAGGUAUUUGACACCUGUCCACAGGGCUGGGUGUCGGUUGAAGAAAGAGCAUGACAGAGAGAGACAGAGAGGGAGGGGUUGAGAGAGAUGAGUUCAGAGAGAGUGAAGAGCAGAAUUAUUCACCACAACCUUUCAACCUGUUGUUGUUCAACCUGUUAGCCACGCAUGGACCAACAGCGCGGGCAAGAAGGCGCUUCACUGAACACACGGAUGUGGUCACGGUCCCUGACGAUGAACAGUCACAAGGAAAUCUGCUGGCGGCCAACGGGGAGAUGGAAGGAUGAGGAAGGGAGGUCGAGGGCAGAGCCGCAAACGUGUGACGUCACAAACAGGCUUGUCACGUGAUUAAUCAUCCCUGUGUACCGCGUCAGGGUUGACUGGGUCCGCUGGGCAAAGCCUACAGAGGGAGGCAAGCUGACAGGUUCCCAUGCUUCAAACGAGGCUUGUACAAAGAUAAGAAUGACUUGCUCGUUACAUAAGACCUCCGUGCAUUAUUGAUGACCUGCGGCACUGGGCAUUCCUAGACUUUACUUUUAUUAUCUGUUUUACUUUAAAGCUUUCGUUGUCUUUUUCUCUGAUGACAUGAUAACCGAUCUUUAUCUCCCUGCCUGGGUUGUGAUAGUUUGCGCCACACUCCAGGACCACCACCCUACCCCUCAUUCCUCAUACAAACCACCACCACCCCGUCCUUUCCCCCAAACGAUAACCAAGUUGCUAGUUCUGCUCCUGGAGAAAUCUUGUCAUAUGUGUGACUGUUAGGUGUCGAUGUCAGAUGGCAGUUGAUUAAAUCACUCGGUUAUGCAAAGCCUUCACCAAGGAUCGCUCCACAUUUGAUGACAUGUCAAGACAAGGGUCGCUUGUAGACACUGGACAGGUCACACAUGGAUGCAUUGGUACAACCAUUCUGUCAAAGAGUUGUUGGUCUCCAAGAAUGUUUUAACUAAAUUUAAUUCAGAGCGUUAACCGAUGCAAAUUGCCAGGUCAGUAAAAAGCUGUUAGUGACACAAGACAUUGGUUGGACUACCUUGACUUUCUACCUGCUCAGGUAUGCUGCAGGGUACACCACCCUCC